This 1329-nucleotide ribosomal RNA is filed under the name Maribacter spongiicola. Its description in RNAcentral is "16S ribosomal RNA". It matches the Rfam family "Bacterial small subunit ribosomal RNA", at positions 96 to 1425 of the family's 1533-position model. Lineage: Bacteria; Pseudomonadati; Bacteroidota; Flavobacteriia; Flavobacteriales; Flavobacteriaceae. The record is from RNAcentral.
CGGCGCACGGGUGCGCACCGCGUAUGGAACCUACCUUGUACAGGGGAAUAGCCUUUGGAAACGAAGAUUAAUGCCCCGUGGUACCAUGGCCCGGCAUCGGGAUAUGGUUAAAGCCUUCGGGCGGUACAAGAUGGCCAUGCGUCCCAUUAGCUUGUUGGUAAGGUAACGGCUUACCAAGGCUACGAUGGGUAGGGGCCCUGAGAGGGGGAUCCCCCACACUGGUACUGAGACACGGACCAGACUCCUACGGGAGGCAGCAGUGAGGAAUAUUGGACAAUGGAGGAGACUCUGAUCCAGCCAUGCCGCGUGCAGGAAGAAUGCCCUAUGGGUAGUAAACUGCUUUUAUACGGGAAGAAAAAGAGCUACGUGUAGCUUACUGACGGUACCGUAAGAAUAAGGACCGGCUAACUCCGUGCCAGCAGCCGCGGUAAUACGGAGGGUCCGAGCGUUAUCCGGAAUUAUUGGGUUUAAAGGGUCCGUAGGCGGGCCGAUAAGUCAGGGGUGAAAGUUUGCAGCUCAACUGUAAAAUUGCCUUUGAUACUGUUGGUCUUGAGUUAUAGUGAAGUUGCCGGAAUAUGUAGUGUAGCGGUGAAAUGCAUAGAUAUUACAUAGAACACCGAUUGCGAAGGCAGGUGACUAACUAUAUACUGACGCUGAUGGACGAAAGCGUGGGGAGCGAACAGGAUUAGAUACCCUGGUAGUCCACGCCGUAAACGAUGGAUACUAGCUGUCCGGGACCUUGAGUUCUGGGCGGCCAAGCGAAAGUGAUAAGUAUCCCACCUGGGGAGUACGUUCGCAAGAAUGAAACUCAAAGGAAUUGACGGGGGCCCGCACAAGCGGUGGAGCAUGUGGUUUAAUUCGAUGAUACGCGAGGAACCUUACCAGGGCUUAAAUGCAUAUUGACAGGUCUAGAGAUAGAUUUUCCUUCGGGCAAUUUGCAAGGUGCUGCAUGGUUGUCGUCAGCUCGUGCCGUGAGGUGUCAGGUUAAGUCCUAUAACGAGCGCAACCCCUACCGUUAGUUGCCAGCAUGUCAUGAUGGGGACUCUAACGGGACUGCCGGUGCAAACCGUGAGGAAGGUGGGGAUGACGUCAAAUCAUCACGGCCCUUACGUCCUGGGCCACACACGUGCUACAAUGGCAGGUACAGAGAGCAGCCACGUCGCAAGGCGGAGCGAAUCUAUAAAACCUGUCACAGUUCGGAUCGGGGUCUGCAACUCGACCCCGUGAAGCUGGAAUCGCUAGUAAUCGGAUAUCAGCCAUGAUCCGGUGAAUACGUUCCCGGGCCUUGUACACACCGCCCGUCAAGCCAUGAAGCCGGGAGUGCCUGAA